This 253-nucleotide ribosomal RNA is filed under the name uncultured bacterium. RNAcentral's name for it is "partial 16S ribosomal RNA". It matches the Rfam family "Bacterial small subunit ribosomal RNA", at positions 524 to 776 of the family's 1533-position model. The record is from RNAcentral.
UACAGAGGGGGCAAGCGUUGUUCGGAAUUACUGGGCGUAAAGGGCGCGUAGGCGGCCCGCUAAGUCGAACGUGAAAUCCCCGAGCUCAACUCGGGAACUGCGUCCGAUACUGGCGGGCUUGAAUCCGGGAGAGGGAUGCGGAAUUCCAGGUGUAGCGGUGAAAUGCGUAGAUAUCUGGAGGAACACCGGUGGCGAAGGCGGCAUCCUGGACCAUUACUGACACUGAAAAGCGAAAGCCAGGGGAGCAAACGGG